AGAUUGAACGCUGGCGGCAUGCUUUACACAUGCAAGUCGAACGGUAGCAGGCCGCAAGGUGCUGACGAGUGGCGAACGGGUGAGUAAUGCAUCGGAACGUGCCCAGUCGUGGGGGAUAACGCAGCGAAAGCUGUGCUAAUACCGCAUACGAUCUAUGGAUGAAAGCGGGGGACCGAAAGGCCUCGCGCGAUUGGAGCGGCCGAUGUCAGAUUAGCUAGUUGGUGGGGUAAAGGCCCACCAAGGCGACGAUCUGUAGCUGGUCUGAGAGGACGACCAGCCACACUGGAACUGAGA
This 294-nucleotide ribosomal RNA is filed under the name uncultured soil bacterium. RNAcentral's name for it is "partial 16S ribosomal RNA". It matches the Rfam family "Bacterial small subunit ribosomal RNA", at positions 26 to 324 of the family's 1533-position model. The record is from RNAcentral.